RNAcentral lists this ribosomal RNA (372 nucleotides) under Triticum aestivum (bread wheat). RNAcentral describes it as "partial small subunit ribosomal RNA". The record is from RNAcentral. Lineage: Eukaryota; Viridiplantae; Streptophyta; Magnoliopsida; Poales; Poaceae.
AUGUACCGAGAUGCCAGUGUCAAGGCCGUGGCGAAAGCAUCGCCAAGGCAGACGACUUACCAAGACAUCCCUAAGUUUCCUUAUGGAUAUCAUGAUGAGGAGGAUACUCCCAAGCCUGGCUUUUUGUGGUCUGGCUCCCAGAUACGGCCAGCGUGGGCACCCGAGAAUUACAAGAACUUGAAACUGGAACAUACUUUUUUACCAACGACCCCCAACAAAUAUCAACUCAAGAACUUGUUCAACCAGGUGCGUCACCAUUUCAACAGAUCGUCUCCACUGACAUUUGAGGGCGAUUCAGCUGUCAAUGGUGCUUAUACUACCAUAUAUCCGUUACCACCUUCCAGCCCGCCAGCAAAAACACGUAUUACAUAA